GGACAGAAAACAUUUUUUAUUUAUAUCUUUGACAUUUAAAAGAGCAGAAUUAAUUUGUCCUGUCUACAUUAGCAUUGAGAGAAAGUUUCAGAAAUCUACCCGGGGGGAAAGGGAGGGGGGGAAAAGAAAAAGAGAAAAAAGAAAGCGAAGAAAGGAAAAGAAAAGCUAGGCUUGGUUUUUCUUAUUUCAGAUCUGUAAUCAAUCAUUGAAAUAGGAGGCAGCAAAACUGUAAAGAUUCGAUAGAUUAAAAUGCAAAUGAAAGGUAGAAAAAGAAACAUUAACAUGGCGAUCAAAGAUUUAAUAACCAUAAAUCAAGUUUUUUUUCUGUUGCAGCUGCAGUUUGUGUGUUUAUGUUUUAAUCAUGUUCGUUCCAUAAAUAAAUAAUUUUGAAACGAGACUAAUUUUUCAUUAUUUUAACAGUGGGCUACAACACUAAAUAUUAAAAAUAGAAAGAGUAUAUGAUGCAGAUCCCCAACCAAAUAAGAGAAAGACUUGUGUUGAUUGGUUAAAAUCAAGGGGUUUCAAUUUUAUGUUUUGAAAAUCAGAGUAUUAUGCUAAAAAAUUCUAUCUUAACUGACAAAGCCCAAAGUUUUAUUUUCUCUUUAAUAUUUUAUGUUAACGACAAGAUACCAUUUAUAUUAAAUAUAUGCAUGGCUACGUAUCCAUUCCAGUCUGAGCAUUUUCAAAGAACGGAAGUGUCAGAAUAUUAAAUAAUACAAACAUAUAUUAUUUCAAAGUGCCUUGACAGAAUUUCUGGAAAAUAAUACUCUUUAGGAUAAUCUGCCUUCCAGAGAAAAAAGUGAUGGUUCAACACAGUUAAAACUUUUCUAGCUUUAUUAUUAAAGUUAUUUUUCCAAGGGGGAAUAUUUUAGCCGUUUGUUUUAUUAUUCAAUUUAAGGUUUUAUGUCAAUGUGUCAAAUUAUCAGAGCACACUCUAAGUACUCAUUUUCUCAACUAUAAUGAAAACUUUUCAUUUAGAUCUUUUUAUGUAAAACAUUAAUUUAUAUCGUUAAUUUAGAAGUAUCUAGAACUUAAAAAAUAAAACACCUGAACUUAGUUUCUCUCUCUCUCUCUCUUUCUCUCUGUCAACAUCUUAUUAACAUAGAGAGGACAUACAUUUUCAGAAAAUUUGAAACUUUUUUUUUCUGCUAAUACAGACUUGCAAUGUUUAAAAUAAGCUUUUUGCUUAAUUCUGCUUUUGAAGGAAUGAUUCCCCCUAGUAUACUAAAAUGAUGGGUUAGAAUUGUUUCAAUUUCUCCUCUUUCCACAAAUGAUCACCAAAUAUGGAAUACAUAUUUCCUUUCUGAAACCUUUAAGUUAAAUGUGAGCUAAGUUUAUGUCCACUCGCCGCCCCCCGCCCCCCCCCCCGCAGCCGAACAAUCACGUUUUCACUGUGACAGUCCAAUAAUGCAUUUAGUUUAAAAUUACAAUUACACUUGGACCUUUUCUCCUUUGUAUUUUUUCAUUUACUUCAGUGCAACAAGAUGACUUGAUUUCCAUAGGAUUACACGAACUCUAUUCAGUGUUACUGGGAUAUUUCUGCUCAACUAAAUGCUUGCCUUAAUAGACAAAUGAACUUCUUUUUAUUUGCUGGAGUUUGUAGAUGGUUUUAGAUAACAGUGUGCAACUGAUUUAGUUAUUGUUGUUGUGAGAAUCGAACAGCCACAAAAGUCAUUUCUCUAAACUGAAGAGAUAUGACUCUGUAAAAAGGAGAAGCAAGGGCAGAAUCAUGGGGAAUUAUUUCAGUUUAUAGCUAUUAUUAAUUAAACUGGAUGUGGUUUUAUUCUGAUCUUUUAGUACCGACCUUGUUAAAAGCUCCCAGCUACCUGCCUUUUUCCCCUCAUCCCCAAUUUUUUUUCUAUUUAUUAGGACUCAUGUGGAUUGGGAUUGCCUUUUCUGUAUUAUAUUACCAAGCAGUUACAGUGUAAAAUCUCAUGCACCUUCAGACGAUCGCACCCCUCCCAGGGGGAAAAAAAAAAAAGAAAUGCUUUUUUUUCAUUCAGUUUUAGCAUCUUGUUUCGUUGAAAUGCAAGACAGGUACUUGAUUUAGCAUUUAAGCAAAAGGUUACACAAACCGCGUUUUAGAAAGUGUUGGGAUGUCCGACAGGGUCAGCCCUAGAUCAGAUCAUUUUUUGAAUGCAGACCUAAAGAUAAUGAGUACUUGUUGUAUUAAAGGGGACAAACAGUACUUUGGCUUCCUCUGACCCCAGAAUGCACGGCUCGGUUUCAUUGAUCAUCCUCCUUUAUGAGAUAAUGCAAUUACAAACAUCAAUAAGGGGCUGCAAGGGGAAUCAUUAUGCGGUGACAGUGAUAAAUGACGGUGCAGAAAUAGCAUGCUUUUCCCCCCUAACAAUCCAGGAGCCCAGGGGCUCCGGGGGCUGAACACAGUCGCCAAGGAAACAGAUGACAUCCCAAACGGCACCAAAAGAAAAAAAAUGAACAGUCUUUCUUUGCCUUUCACUCUUUUCCGUCUUCCAAAGAGUUAGUUUUGGCUCAAGCAGCAGCUGCUACACAAGGCAUUUCGUUAUUUCAAACAUUAAAGACUGGAACGGGCAGUGGGAGUCUCCUCCCCUUUCAUCCCCACCCCCACUAGAUAACACACAAAGCUCGCUGUUCACAGUUUAGGACUACCUGAAAAUGCACGUCUCAAAAAUCAGAUUGGGAUGGGGUGGAGGGGCGUCGGGAACGUGGAUUUGCACAGCCCUUGCGUUGUGUUUCCCCUGCUUUUGUCCAGUGGAAACUGAGUCUCCAGAACAAGCUGGCGCCUCGCGGGUCGGCCAGUAAGGGAACGGGUGCGCGUGGCUCGCCUCCAUCUCCCCGCAGUGCCAGACGCUGCUCUGUGCCAAGGCGGGGGCUGAGGAGCAGGCGACUGCUGGGGGUGUUUGCUGCUGUGCUGGGUUUCUUUGGGAUGGAGUUAUCAAUGGGCGCAGAGAUCGUCCCUAAAUCGAGAAAUCUGGUUCUUUAAAGCCUCAGGGUGCCCUCAGCAAGCGGCUUCAAAAGGGCCUCACUGAACAUUCCCCACCCCACCCAUGCCCAGAAAGGUGGGCGAGGUAGAUGGGCGCAAAAAGGCGUCGGGCUACCAGACUUCUGCGACGGCCCUGAGGCAGCGGGGGACUAGGAGAGGGGCAGAACCUCUGGACACUAGCUCCGCCUAGGGAGAGAAUGUUUCAGACUCCUUGGCGGGUAGAGCGGGCCGAAAAGGGAGCCCUCCCUCUCCCAGCCAUCAGCUGUCUUCCUCAGGUCCCCGACCCCACCUUUCUCGCUCACUACUUUUUCCCCAAACCCUGGGAUUCCCAGGCUCCUGUAGUCUCCGCACCGUGGCCACCUUAAGUGAAACGCGCCGCUAGCAGCCAGUGGGUAAGGCAUGGCAUGGGAGACGAGAAUGAGACAAGGAAAAGUGCCCAGCCAGGCAGGGCGCCCCACUACCCAGUUCCACGCCUCUCUCCAUCGGCGUCCAAGCGCCUACCCGGGAGCUUUGCAGCAUGAAGUUACGUUUUUACUGCCUUCCGGUGGGCCAAGGGCCUGAGGGUAUCCGAAAGGCUGGGGAAAGUUUGCAGAGCUUUUAAAGUGAUCCUGAGGAGCUUCUGCCUAAGGCGUCGGGGUGCUGUCUACGGCUUCCCGGCUGCGGCUCCAGACUCGGGCACUCUCCUCCCAACGCCCUCCUAGUGGGCCGUGCACGCGUUCCAUGUGCCCUCCAGCCCCCAGGCUCUCUGGGUCGCGCUCCCAGGGCCACUAUGGGACUCUGGAGUCUGGGGCCCCCGAUGUGGCAAAGUCUAUUAGGAAGUCUCCAGGCUACUACAAAGCACUCCGUGAGGUUCCGAGGAAAGAGCGCCCGGACCUGCACCCAGGAGGUGCCUCUCCACAACCUCCUUCGCAGACCCCUGGUCGCCCCAUCUCCAGAGACAAAGUCAACAGUCCCUUAGACUAGACUCAGAUGGGGGUGAGGGCAGGAGGGUAAGGCAGGCGCCCGUGCAGCCCCCCCACCCCCGCCACCCCCCGCGACCAGAGCUGUGGUCUCUGGGCAAAGACCUGCCCGCCCACGCACUGGGGCCUAGGCCGGGACCCAGCGCAUCGAGGGACUCAGGGGUAGCACGUCCUGGCUGGAGCUCUGCGCAGUUGCCCGCUGGAUUUCCUCUCGGGGCACGGAGCCGGGCCCAACCCCAGGACUGGAGCCUAUACCCUUCCGCUCCUCCCGCAGACUUGGGGGACACUGCACACAGCAACUAACCCCGAUCGCAAAGUCGAGCGCGAAGUCUGCACGCCGCGUGGGAGACGCGAGAGGGAGGGGGAGGGCAGGGCUUGCGUUUUUCCUUUUCAGAAUCCUUCGACUUCACUACGAAGUUUGCUGGUAGGCGCCUCUGCUCCGGGGUCGGAGCCUCCCACCAAGGCUCCUUCCCCUCCCCUUCUCCCCGCCCCCGCGAGCCGAAGCAGCCGCAGCCUCCACCAGGACCCGGCCGCCCGCUCGAUCCCCCUGACCCGGACCCUGCGCCCAGGUUGCAGCGCCGCCCUCCCGGCCUUGCCCCCGGGCUCGGCUGGGGGCUCUUUUCCCCGGGGCGAAACUCGCCCGCCUGGCUCACUUCAAGGAGACACCCGCUGCCUCCCGAGGAACUCCUAAUACCAUCCAUACAGCUUUAAUGCGUUUAUAAUUCGAUAAGUGAUUUCAAUUUGAAAUUGUUAGUAACUAAUUUUAUGGGUAAUUUUUCCACAUCAAAUAUUUAAGCAUCAGAUUAAGGGAGCCAGUUCCGACACUGGAUAAUAAGGGGGUUUCCCCCACUCCCGCGCCUCCGCCUCCCUCCGUUUCCUACCGAGUCGUUUUUCGAAAUCCCCAAAAGAUGGCAGUCGAAGCCGACUUUCCUCUUUUCCUGUGGCUCUGCGAAGGGAGGGGGAGAGAGGAGGAUGGGGGAGUGCGAGAGUGGGGGGCGGAGAGAGAGAGAGAGACAGAGAGAGAGAAGGAGGAGGAGGAGAAGGAGAAGAAAAAAAGGGGGGAGAGAAAAGCUAGACGGUGCAUGGACUUUUCAGACGAAUUCUUUCACACGUUUCUAAUACAAGCGAAAAGCAGUGGUGAAUUUCCUGGAAAAGUCCUGGCAGAAAUGAAAGCCAAAAAACGUGCCUUGUGGCCUCAGGGUACGGGAUGUGAGAAACUCAGCACAUUCAAGCUAAAUCUUCAUUUUAGAACAGGAGAGGGAGAGGGAGACCCAGAGAGGAACCGACUCGACUGACUUUAGGGUCUUUCUUUGUAUUUUAACAUUGUAUAUAAAUACUACACAACUAGGCAACGUGUUUCCUCGAGGACUGGACUCUGCGAAUUACAUAAUGAGGGGAAAGAGGUAGGGGUGGGGAAGGGGAAGGGGUGGGGGCAGACUGCAGCGGGCGGAGGGGAGACUGGGGCGAGCAGCGGAUGAAUUGCAGACCAGUUGCCAAAACUUUUUUUUUUUCCCUGCUGCUGCUGCUGCGGCUGCCUUUGCUGCUGCCUUUGCUUUGAAUGUGGGUAACUAGGAAACAGCAAGCCGUCUGAGAAGACGGAAUUUCCAACGUGUAAAAUGUUCUUAACGGAACCAUUGAGCGAGUGCAAUAAGGCGUGAGGGGGAACUAAUCUUCCCAUUUAAAUGUUUGUGGCAAUUUUAUCUAAAUGAAUUUUAAUGCUAAACGAGGGUAAUUCCCCAUUUGUAGCGCGUUUACUUCUCUUUCCUGUGCUUCUAAAGCAGUCGAACAUCAUGCAAUGAACAAUAACAAUAAAAAUACUGUCAAGGCAUAUUAUUCAUUUUGAAUGUGUUAUAAUUACAGCUGAUUAAAUAUGAUAGGGUAAAAUAUUUUUAAUUUUUUGAAAAAAAAAUUUAAAUCAUAUUAAAAAGUAGUCUCAUUCAGCCAGAGCCAGCCCCCUUUCCACCCCCCCCCCACCCCCCCACCCCCCCACCACCAAAUAAAAAUAAAAACCAGGUACAAUUUUGUGCCCUUGUUUAGAGGAGGGCGUUUUGUUUUUGCCUUUUAGGAAACAUCAAAAACACUCUCAGCACCUCUAUUAUUUGCCUCUUUCGGAUAAGUGUCCUCAAUAACCUUCGAGCUGGCUCUGAAAUUUACAAGAGGAAAAGCUAAAAUAGCAUUAAGAGGGGAGGGCAUCGAGGCAGGGGAAGAAAGGAACUGCGAAGAGCGAGGCUCUCACCUAAAUGGCUCACAGAGGGGGAACUCACGGAAAUAGCAGUUUAUUUUUUCUAAUUCCUGGACACUGCUGAUCUCGAUUCUUCAGAGUCACCAUAUUCCCUAACUACUCUUCACUUGUAAACCUCCCUCCCCUAGCGCCUCUCUCUUUCUCUCUGUCUCUCCCUCUCGCCUCUCUCCCUCUCCCCACCACACCUCCUCCCCUUUCUUUCCCUCCCCCACCCAUCCUGAGCCUCCUCAGGAAUAAAGGCUGAAAAUAACCAACUCACCCGGGCAUGUACUGGAGAGGAGGAGCAAAUAGACAGUUUAUAAAGUUUAUUAUUAAUUGUUAAAGUAAAUAAAUGGUUGUUAACUGCUAGCAACCACCUAUCAAAAGAGAAUGAUUUCACUCACAUCGACUAUUUAGGUAGAGGAAGAAUUGCCACUAGGUCAACAAGGGAGAUUUAAACAAUCCCAUCUAUGGGCUGGGGAGGGGUAGAAGCGCUGCCAGAGAUGGCUGCAGUAGGCUGAGCCUUGCUCUCUGCGCAUCCACGUGUUUAGAAACAAGGCCCCAUCAGCAAAAGUCUCCUUAAGACACUGCCUGCAAC
This 6743-nucleotide long non-coding RNA is filed under the name Homo sapiens (human). Its description in RNAcentral is "HSALNT0033047". Lineage: Eukaryota; Metazoa; Chordata; Mammalia; Primates; Hominidae. The record is from RNAcentral.